CACAGUCGAGUCAAAUUGAGCCCCCAUCCCCAUCACGGCAGGAACUGACCAAAUGGCCCACAGCAAGGCCUGCAGCUCAUGGGCCCCGGGCCCCAGGACCUGGGGUUAAGUACAGCUGCAGAAAGGG
This 127-nucleotide small nucleolar RNA is filed under the name Zalophus californianus (California sea lion). Its description in RNAcentral is "Small nucleolar RNA SNORA5 (ENSZCAG00015004898.1)". It matches the Rfam family "Small nucleolar RNA SNORA5". From Rfam's summary of the family: ACA5 is a member of the H/ACA class of snoRNA that guide the sites of modification of uridines to pseudouridines. Lineage: Eukaryota; Metazoa; Chordata; Mammalia; Carnivora; Otariidae. The record is from RNAcentral.